Molecule: unclassified non-coding RNA, 315 nt
Filed under: Hevea brasiliensis (rubber tree)
Lineage: Eukaryota; Viridiplantae; Streptophyta; Magnoliopsida; Malpighiales; Euphorbiaceae
Source: RNAcentral
GGGUAAGUGAUACGUUCUUUACUAUUGCUGCAUUCUUGUUCUGCAUGAACACAGGGUCAAAUGUUUGACUAAUCUGUGAAUUCAAAAUACUUUUCUGGAUGGAUGAAAAGAAAAAAUCACAAUAAAAAUAAAGGAAAAGGGCGUUUCCGUGGUGUUUGAUUUUGUGUUGUGGGUGGAAUUUGGUCUCUCACUUUAACUCAAUACAUCAAGUCCAUGAACUUAUUGAUUUUACUCUGCUUUUAUUGUCAAAAUUAUAAUGUGUUUUUUGAGCUGCUUAAUUCUUUCAAGAUCUUUGUCUCCUAUGAGUUAUAUCCU